GACAUGGUGAGGUAAAUCAAUGUAUAUUGUCUGAAAUGAUAGACUGUUGUCAAGCACUAAGUUAAAUUCAAUGUUUAUUUUAUUUUUUAUCUAUUUUUUCACUGUUUUCAUACAAAAAUGUAACAAGAAAAUAACUAUCAAAACCAAGCUUAAGGAGUAAACAAAGACUCACAAAACCAAAGGACAUUUACAUCAACAGUUAUAAAUAAUAAUUAAGAAACAACUCCACUAAAAACCGGGAGAGAAAUCGGGUGCAUUUCCUGCACUGUAUACCGCAAACUGUCAUGUUAUUUCCUUGUACAGUUCAGUAAUGAUGGAAGGUUAUUAUGACUGAGGAAGAAUAUCAGAUAUGAUUUCUGACACACUUUUGUCAUAAUGGUCAAUCCAGUGGCGGAUCCAGAACUUUUCCUAAGGUGGGGCCCG
Molecule: long non-coding RNA, 423 nt
Filed under: Mytilus galloprovincialis (Mediterranean mussel)
Lineage: Eukaryota; Metazoa; Mollusca; Bivalvia; Mytilida; Mytilidae
Source: RNAcentral